Long non-coding RNA from Scatophagus argus, 798 nucleotides. RefSeq lists it as uncharacterized. Lineage: Eukaryota; Metazoa; Chordata; Actinopteri; Scatophagidae. The record is from RefSeq and is a predicted model, not a curated record. The transcript has 4 exons.
GGCGUGUCCUGUAGAUACCGUGGGCCCGCAGGUAGACCUUCUUGGGAAGGUUGUCACUUCGUCUUAAUUACGCACCUGUGCUCGAGGUGACUUCUCCUGUAUCAUCGCUGAGAAGUUUGCCAGAUACCAGUUCGGCAGAAUGUGGACAGAAAACUCCGACACCAGGCCGUCUGCAUUGGUAAAGCUCCUGCUCGCUGAGAGGCCAGCAGGCCCUCAGCAGUCUCCAAAGAGCUGUUAGGGUGAAAUCCCCCCAGCAAAGAUACUUGGCAGCCAUUUACAGCCACUAGGGACAGAACCUCUGCUGAUCCCGCUGUUGUAGUGCCGCUGAUGUUUGUGUGUGCUAUACCUCCAUCUUGUUCUCCGCUGCCAGCUGGGAUUAAAUUGGUGGCAAGACACCUCAAGUCUGAGCUCCUAUGCACAUGACAGGCAGAUACAAAACCCCAUAGAUUUCAUUAUCCCAGAGAUGUCAAAGACAGGGCUUCCCUACCUCCAUAAGUCCAAUUUGACUGCUGGCACUGAGGCGACACGAAGGUGGGCACACAGGAGUACACAGGUUUCUCUCUGCAAUUUGAUGUAAUCAGGAUCUGAUUCAGAUUCAGUCAGGACGCCAUGUGAGAAAGGCCUCUGGGAGCUCGCCAAUCAGCCGACUAGCAGCAAGAGGGGACAUCCAGCGCUUCUGGAGGAGACCCGUGGCUUCUAUAAUCACUGAAACAGAAUAGGAACUUUUGGGAUAACAAGGCUCUUUUCUUCCACCUGCAGGGUGGUCUUGACACUUGUAAGACCUUGGUCAAGUGAUUC